AUUUCUCUGAGAUGUUUUGCAAGCGGGCCAGUCCCUGAGCUGAUAUUUCAUACCACAAGAAUGUAUACAGCUCCCGCGGUUGGUGAGCAUGCUCGGUUCGUCCGGAGAAGCCUUAAAACUGUGAUUUAUCAUAUCUACCUGAACCAAGGGUUCGGUGGUUGCUCGCGGCGGCAGACCGGAGGAGAA
This 186-nucleotide non-coding RNA is filed under the name Salmonella enterica subsp. enterica. RNAcentral's name for it is "6S RNA". It matches the Rfam family "6S / SsrS RNA". From Rfam's summary of the family: E. coli 6S RNA was the first non coding RNA to be sequenced, but its function was unknown until recently. The record is from RNAcentral. Lineage: Bacteria; Pseudomonadati; Pseudomonadota; Gammaproteobacteria; Enterobacterales; Enterobacteriaceae.